Molecule: long non-coding RNA, 3669 nt
Organism: Temnothorax curvispinosus
Lineage: Eukaryota; Metazoa; Arthropoda; Insecta; Hymenoptera; Formicidae
Exons: 2
Source: RefSeq, a predicted model, not a curated record
UUUAGGACAGGCAAUUAUCUUCCCACUUUCUCCUAUAUUGAACAUCGAAUUAGAUUGUUAAACAGUCACGUGUUCGACGGAUCUUCUCAACUGUUACACGAGGAUCGUCAACUCGAGAAGCCACAACUGAAGUGCUCUUGACGAGAAAAGCCGGUUCUACGCGCGGGGAAUUCUCCCGACGACGGAACAACAGAGGGUCGUCCCAUAAAAAUACGAGCGAGGUGCGAAGUGAUCGACAAUGUUUACAGCGGAGACGACUCAAUUAUCCCGGCCGCGACGUAACGCACGGAAGCGAUAAUUAAUAAAACUCGUUAGGCGAAUUGAGCGCGAUGCAUAUUCAACCGGCAUACAUAUCCGGUAAACCGCGUGUCGGGUUUUAAUAUACAGUAGUUAAUCUAAGUGCCUAUUGUUUCAAGGCGCGGACGCUAUCGCGAUGCUCGUCCGCCGUAUUACGAUGCGCUGCACGACCAUACAUGGAACGUGUAUGAUAGGAACAGAAGUAUAUCGGAUAAAAUCAAUCUGUCGAAAUGAUGCGAAAAACGUGCGGAAAUAUUCCUGCCGGUUGAGAUGAAUGAAACAUAUACGUAGGAAGCGCUUCGUAACGCAGGAAAAUAGCUUUUAAAGGAAAUGCUCGUCGGCUAUGGAUUCCCGGCAACGAUUUCCCGACGUAUCCGUAUUAUGAUCAAACGCGGUAACAGGAGAAACAAAUCCAUCGCACCGGCGAAUAUUGAAUAAUUCAACUGACUAUCCUUGGUCGGGCGUCUGCAAGACAGAAAAGAGAGAGAGAAAGAGAAAAACGAACGAGUUAUGUCACGCGAAAAGGAAUAGUUGCAGCGAAACAUAAUAUGCGAAUCGCUCAGUUACAUAAGCUCGAAUAGUUGCAUUUCUGUCAUGUGCCUGCCCGGUAUUUCGAGAGACAGAUAACCGAUUAGCGUCGUGGAGAAUACACGACACGCAAAAGAGAAAAUGUCAGACAAAAUUGUUUAUUCUAAAAAAAGUAUAUGUAUAUAUACAAUAUAUGUACAAUAAUGUCGAGCUUGCGAUAGACUACACGAUUCGUGUCUACGUCGUCUUUUACAACAGGCACGUAUAAAAACCGCGAUAAGCGUAAAGCAUAAAAGUUAAACGUCCAGUUUUAUGGGUCAGAUAUAUAAUGGAACCACCUUCUCUCCUCUCUACAUUAAAAUAGAGUUUCGUAUGGCCAAAAAGAAAAAAAAGGCAGUAUCGCGCUCGACAGGCGCGAAACGCCUUGAAUAUCAAUAUCGAAUCUGGGAUGCAAGGUGCGUACAUGUAAUACACGUUCCAUCGCGCUUGUCAGGUAACUCGACUGCACGGCCGCAUAGAUUUCAGGCUAAUGAAAUUUAUUAUCGGCUGCACGCGACGUUAAUUCUUACUGGGGUGUAACAUAUGUAAAAAAAAAGCACUGCACAAAAUUGUUCUAUCGCGUGCAGCGAGGUGCUUAAAAGAGUUACGUGCUAUUUGCAACCGUUUAUGACUCAAACCAUUUAUGCCUCCAAUAUCUAUGAUUCAGAGAAAAUGCGCGUCUUUUCCGAAACUCUACGUACGUACUAUCACGCGAAAAUUUGUUAAAUAAAAUUACAUCGUCAGUAUCGUAAGAAUAAGAAUUAUUCGCGAUUGAUAAAAAAGACUGUUUUAGAAAUUUUAUUAUAAAUAAAAAUUCUUUGCUUCGACAGUCACGUUUUAUGUUAUGAUAUCUGUACAAAAAGCUUACGUCGAUACUUGAAUGGUGCACUGUAAAUAGAUAAUUAUUUUUCGAAAGGCAUGUUUUACUUAUAUCUUUUAGUUCUAGACUGACGAUUGCCUCGUUCCUUGCAUAGCGAAGUGGCUGAAAUUCUAUCCGAAUUCACGUUUAUCAAAGAAACGCAAAGCAAGAUAAAUAUUCUAGAAUGCAAAUAUUCUCUCGCGCUCGGCCAGCCGCGAAGAAAACCGAGGAAAAGAAACCUCAAGAAGCCUCGUUACAUGACGACGAUAUUCAACAUACAUACAUAUAAAAUAUCUCGGAAUGCCCGAGGGAGAUAGCAGCGCGGUGCAACCCGUGUUAAUUUCAAUAGAUUAUGCAGUCACGAUAAUUAUGUGGUUCAUACGCAUUUCAAGGCCGACUCAGAAGUAUAUGUUUAUAUUGGUGUUUUUCGAACUCCGGCUCGUGAUUCACUAUCGGAGAGCCUUUGUGCAAGCCGCAGACCACAGUCCACGUCGCGUACGUUUCACCAGGAACGACGUGGCUUCAUUCGCACGUGGAAAGCCUCAUUUAUCGACAAAAAAAAAUAGACGUUUUCCCAUAUCCGUGAUGCGAUUGUAGCCCGUGCGAACACGACCGUGAGCUUCGAAGGAUCGAACAAUAACUGGAAUAACCGCGAUUCUCAUGGCUUCCAAUAAAUAGGGCGAAAAUGAUGUUUCCAUGCGAGUGAUACUGCGAAAAAUACACUAAUUCCUUUUUAGAAUUUUUAUGAUAAAAUAUAUACGUAUCUUCCCAGAGAGAUGAUUUUCCGUACUUUCCUCUAGAUUUAUCAUGUAAUAAGUAAAAAGUUGUAUAAAAAUGUGAAAUGUAUAUUAAUUUAUACAAGUUUUUAAGCUUAACAGACGAUCUUUUCUUUUCAGCCAAGAAAGCCUAACAUCCGAGGAUCUCAAACGAAUGCAAUAACUACAAUCAGAGCGAAACAUUUCGUAUUUGUCAAGUACAUUACACACUGAACGAGAAUGCUCCGCGUGGCGGAGGAUCCACAAGAUUGUCUAUGAGACGAGAUUCACGAUCGCCGGUUUUUCGCGAAAGGCGUUUUAAUGCGAGGCUCGUGCCUCGUGCCUGCUCACAUGCCUGGCCGGCACGCACCGCUAUCCUAUUAAUAUCUCGCGAGAGAGCGCGUAAAAGGGCGCAAAUGCGAAAGGCACGGGGGAAGAGGGAGGCAGAGUGGCAGAGAGCCGGCGACGCAGAGGCAAACGGGUGCGUGCCCGGCAAACGCGCUCGUUAUUGCGCGCUCUUUAACAGUACACGUUACUGUACCGUGACCCACCACCGUUUUCCAUCUGACGUUGCCCCGCACACAUGACUCUCCGGGGGACAAACCUCUCUUCCUCCACGCGCGGGACGUUUUCUUCCCGGCUCGCGAGAACUUCCGAGCACGCGACGCGGACGCGCGGUCGGAAACUUUUGCGACAAACAACGCGAGACGAAUCGCGAGCCGCGAGGGACACCUCGCGUGUCUGAUCGCGUUGACAGUCCGGAUUAGCUCGCUGAUGCACAAACGGUACCACGGGAACUCGUUUUUAUUUCAUUAGUCCCUCCUCCAUCACUGUAAUACGAAAGAUAUCAUCGGGCACGAAUUCCUGAAGCAAUUUUAAAUAAAUUCCCUCUUCACGAAACGGCCAACACUAUCGAAUCUUGUAAUUAAAAGACAGUGACGGCGGAGGAAGGCUAAACGGAAUCACACAUGUCCUCCUAGCCACAAAGCCAUAUUUUAUCGUGUCUUGUCACAUCUGUCUUCAAAUCAAUUACUUCUCAAUGUCAACUGUCCCAUUAUGUGAUAAUGAAAUAAGCGUUAUUAACAGAUCUGAAAAUAGGUACCGCAUAAAAUUAAUAUGGGGAUAGCAGAUUGUUACACGUUUAAGAUUUAUAUAUUAUUCUGAAACAAAUAAAGUCCCGUCAUAAAUCGC